Long non-coding RNA from Pezoporus flaviventris, 8738 nucleotides. RefSeq lists it as uncharacterized. The record is from RefSeq and is a predicted model, not a curated record. The transcript has 3 exons. NCBI's taxonomy places the organism in Eukaryota, Metazoa, Chordata, Aves, Psittaciformes, Psittacidae.
UGUGUUGGCCCACCUUGCUGUGUUGCUUUGGCACCUUCAGUAACACCAGGCUUUGAACCCCUAGAUUGCAGCAGCAACUUGUGGGGCGUCCCUUCUAUAUGAGAUUACCUUAAUCCCUCACCCUUUUCCUUGCCUUCUGUCUCCUUUCUGUCCUUCAGCAACCUCCAUGGAGCUAUCAGCAUGGGCACAGGGCAGGCAUGCUUAUAGGAAUACCUCCACUGAGUGCUUGUUCAAGUAUAUAGAUUACUGUGCUUUUUUCAGUGAUGCUUUUCUGGUUAUACCUUCACUUUGUUACAUUCAUAUGUGCUUCUCUUCAAAGCCUUGACUCUUCUGGUUACAGCAAGGUUUUUUCAUCAGACUGAAAUGAGCAGGUUUGUCAGAGUACUCUUGAUUAUGGGGCUUGCAAGACUGUUUUCCCUCUUAAGACAGUCUACUUGAUUUCUUUCCUAAGACAGUAUGAAUACUGACAAAGAUUCUUCUGCUUAAUGUUUCCUUUGAUACCCUAAUUUUCAUUCUUUGACCUUCAUAUCUUUUCCUAUUCCUCCUUGCCCUCUAUAUUUUUUAUUCCAUUGGGAAAUGGUGCUGUUGUUUAUACAAAGCUUAAAGCAUUCUUAAAUAAAAAUGUUAGAAAGGCAGAUUAAUUUAUUUGACUUACAUUUUGGGGGGUAGUUUGAAGGCAUUCCUCUCUAAAAUAUCCAGAUAAAACUUAGCUUAAUUUAGUGAAAAUAAAUCUCACUAAACUGAAGACAUAGUAUUCUGUCUCUCCAGCAGACAGAGAUUUGAGAAGACUCAAGUAGAGAAAGCUCUCCUCAUUUCCAGAGGAAAAUUAAUUCCAAAGAGGACUUAAGUGCUAAUGAUUACCAAUAUAUUUCAUGGAGAGCUGUGCUUUGCAAGGAUAUCUUAUUUAAGGUGAGCUAGAUUGCGUUUGGCUGGAUUCGGAUGAUGAGAAUCACUCUGGAUUCAGAAAUGCUUAAAUUAUUGUAGAAUGUGUUCCUGAUUUGGAAGCCCUGAAAUGUAGAGAAAUUUGCUUAAUUCCUUCAGAUUUACUGGUUUUGUCAAGUGACAAUAUCUUGAACUCACCCACAGAGCAUGGUAGUCAGUUAAAAAAGAUUGUGAAAUUUUAUUUUGCAGUUCUGUUCAGCAGUGCUUCCAGCUCACUGUCAAGGACUGGCUGCUUCACCCUUGCCUACUUCUUGCAGUUUUAUCUCUGGACAGAUAGUUGAAAUAAGCAAAACAUAAUAAUCUCAUUUGGAUCAAACUAUGAAGCUUUCAAAAAUAAAGGAAAAUACAGUCUCCUUUCCCCUUUCCCCACCAUCACUAUAACAAUGAAUAAACAUAUAAGUAAUCUGCUGGCCAGAACAGAAUAUGGGGCAACACACUGGCAUUGGUUGUUGCUUCUCAGAGUUGGAGGAGGCAAUUCGUUCUGACUGAACAUCCAAUGACUUUCAAAGAUAGAUCAAGUCCAUACAUUUGAACCAAGUUUUAACUUCAAGUGAUGAAUGCUCAGCUACCUGAUAAAUCCCACUUCUGAAGCUUUCCUGGAGCAGUGGAGCAGGCAGGCUAGAAGAUGGACAUUUGACAGGCCACAAUAGACUGCUCCUUUCCCAGAUUAUGCCAGUGUUUACAAAGGUUGGGAUCCAUUGCAUCCUCAUCAGUUUUUACAUUUGCCCAAGAAUCAGAUUCAGUUUAGCCUAGCAUUCUUCACAAAGAUAAAAGGGUGACAGAUCCUAACACAUUUGUGCUUUUGAAAAGUAGAAAAGCUGAUUUCAUGCAUAAACCCUAUCCUAAAGCUGUCUCCAGGGUGAAAUUAUACCAGUAUUGGUAUAGGAAGGGGUUUAAACUGCAUGCGGUGACGUGCUUGGGCACACUUUCUUAUACUAUAAUCAGAAAAUGAUGCAAUAGCCUUAUUGUCCAGUUUUUAACUACUGAAACUUUGGUUUAAAUCUGAUUUCUUCAUGAUCAAAAGAUGCCUAAGACACCUCAUUUGUGUCUUAAGUGAUAGCCAAUCUUCUUUGCAUGUAUGAGCUUCUAUCAGUAUUUUUUAAAACUGUAAUACGGGGCAAGAAGAUGUAUUAUUGAAUGCUUAUUUUACAGCUGCAUUACGUGGACAAACAUAUACAAGAGUCAUGCAUUAAUCAAACGUGACAAAUAAGUAUGUUCUAACAUAAAUACAUGAGUGAAUUUAUUGAAGUAUUGAUAAUUCUUUGUGAUUUUACUCAGUGACAAUGAAUAAAAGUGUGAUUUAGUAAGACUAGAAAGAAAUGUGAAAUUAUUAAAGGCAUACAAAGAGCCAGAAGGGGCAAUACUGCCAAAUUAGUCUUUUUCUAAGGUCUGAUACUUUAGCCUGUAGUUAAAAUGAGCUUUGCCACUGAAAGACCAUUGUGACCAUAAUGCUUGUUCCCUAAACAGGAGUGGUGUAGCAACAACUAUUCAGUCGCAGGUUCUUAGGUUGUUUGUAUAGUAUAAAGCCAGUAGAAACCAUUGCAAUUCUCUAGCUGGACCUCCCACAUAACAUAGAUCUAAGAAUUUCAUGGAAUGAAUUCCUUCUAGAAUUAGAGUGCAUGUUUGAGAAAACCAUUGCAAUUCUUGAUUAUAACAUUUUCAGAGACAAAAAAAAUACAAAAAUUCUGAGUAUGAUGUUUCAGUAAUUAUCAUAACAAUGAAAGAAAUGGGACCUUUAGUCUAAAUUUCUGUAGCCUUUAAUUUCAGCCACUGAGUCUUGUUGUACAUUGCCAAAGGUAUAACAAGAUUUGCCCAAACUGAAGACAUUGAUCAAUCUUCAUGUUUCUUUAUUAAAAACCUUAUACAACUUGGACAAAUUACUCUUUAGUUUUCUCUCUGGGCUUCUCUACAGGCAGAACUUAGUGUGCAGAAAGCGUAUGAAUUCACAAGGCUUCAGCUACUCAGCUCUGGUUUGCCAGGCACACCCAUCUGAUGAAUGCUAAGUAGCUAAGACACAAAAUACCUUACCUUAAAGAAAAUUUUAAUGUAAUUUACAGAAGUUUGUUUCUAUUUCAGUUUGAAAUGAAACAAACUGUGUCUAAAAAAGUUUGAACGAGCAGCAAGGAAAAAAAAGUGGUGUACAUUCUCUCCCUUUAGGCAAUACUUUUGUGCAUGCAGAUCACAUGAGGCACUGUUAUCAUUGUCAUAUAAGCAUCGGGCCAGGCUAAACCUUAUAUUCUCAGAAGUAUUUUGUAUGCUUAUACUUCCAUUUGGUCUUGUCAGGGAGUAGAACGAUAUCAUUUCAGUUACGGUCUGAGCAGCACAUAGGCAUAGCUGUAGUUAGAAUUGUGAUUACGUUAGAUUAGAUUAGGAUAUCUAACUCAUUUAAAUAUCAUGUAUUGGCUUUAAAUUAAUUAGGGGGGAUAAAAAAUUGUCAGGGAAGGAAAAGAGUUAAUGUCAAAAUCUUUUCCAACAAGAAGACCAUUAUUAAUAGCAAGACAUCGGUGGAACCCUUACCUUCAUGGAAAUCAUGAUUAGAGGUUGUAAAGAAGUUAAAGAGAUACAGGUACAGAAGAAUGUUGCUAUUAUUUUAUCUCGUGGGAUAUGUUGCACAGUAUUAGGAGCCUGGAUAUGGAUUUGGAUGGUAGAACCACUGACAGGCAUGUGACUGCAUGGAAUUGCAAGAUGGUAAGUGCAGCUCAUAGUCCCACAUUGAAACCCAGUAUUCUGCUGCUAAAGGGCAAACAGAGAUGAUAAGGACCUCCUAUGAAGUAGUAGGCCUCUGGAAAGAUCCAGAAGUCAGUAUUUUAAAUACUGAUUUGGACAGCUGGUGUUACCAGCAUGAUCAUAGUAUUCCAGAAACCUACCCAAAGCAACACUGAUAUGGACCAGAUGUAGGUGAUGUGUCAUUGAGUCCCUACUGAGAUAGAUGUGCAGUUCCUGAGGAAGUCAUUCUUCAGGUAGAAAAUACAUGGCCAUGAUUUUGAAGCAUGUAGCUACAAAUAUCAAUUAUGGCAGCAGCUUGAUGUAACUGCUUGAUCCAAAUCCAAGGCAUCCUUCUUAGAAAAGACCUGAAAUUGAGAGCCAAAAAAGCUGUUAGCACUACGGGUUGAGAUUGAGUACAGUGUUGCAGGGAGAAAUCUCAUCUGAAUUUCUGCCACAUCCUCUAACAUCAUAUUAGCAACAUCAGAGAUUCCUGUUUAAGGGCCUCCCAUUGAGAGAACUCCUGUCAGCUUCCUUGUUCCUAUGACAAAACCAGGCCAUGUAAAACCAUGUGUUGUUUGCUUGAAUCCCAUUACCAAACAAUGCACAUGAUUUAGCAUCUGUUUUUUCCUCAGGCACUUCUGCCUGAGACACCUUUAGGAUGGCCAGCUGCAGGACUAUCCCCACAACUCUAGGACAGUUCUGAGCAGGAAUGUCCUCGCCCCCAUAGAAGUGGGGUCAAUGUGCAUACCGGUGUGCAAGUAGUGGGGGUCAGAGACAUAAAUGUGCAUACACAUAUGGCAGAGCAGGAUCAAGAAACCCAAGCUCAUGCUCUCAUUAGGAUCCUCUUAUCACAUUAGCCAAAGUCUGACUUGGUUGUGCUUUGUCUGUACCUGUGCCUGUGACUUUUAUAUCCCAUGCUGUUUUAACAAGAGAUGGAAGAGAUCCAGUCAGAAAAGCCUUGUGAUGAGAUCUGGUCGUAUUGGGCCUUUGUAGUUAUGCUGCUUGUUUGGGAGUCAGGAUCUUUGAGUGAGGAAGCCUAAACCAAAAUUUUUGUAAUUACUUGCGGAAUUAAUAUCACCUUCAGAUAUUAAUAUGAAUACAUCAUCUUACUCUUCCUACUUGGCUGUAGGCUACAUUUGUUUCAUAAUUAGUCUGCCCUUCUUUCCUUGUUUUGGGAGAUAUCUAUUAAAAUUGUCAUAAGCAGUUCACAAUUUCUAGUCUCAUUUUUUCGUUCAUGUUCUUCUCACAUUUGAUUUGAUUGAUUUGUUGUCACAUUUGAUUGAUUUGUUUUAUUCUGUUCAGCCAUCAAAUUUCUUUACCAUCCCUUGCUCCCAGGCAGCCACUAAUGCUUAGUUCUGCAAAUAAUUCCCCUUUACCUCCUCACCAUAAGGUCCGAUGGAAGACUACAUGGCAGAAGCAACAAUCUGAAUAAAGAUAUCAUCAUCUAGGAUUUCUAGGCAAUUCACUAAUGUUUUGACAUUAGAAACAUGAGAAACACAAGAAGCACCAGAGCUCUUGUAGACGACUCCUUUGAGGGAAAGCAGAGGUUGGCCAGUUCCAGCUCUAUGCCAGGCUAUCACUUCUCCUCCUUCAGUCUUUAAAUAAGUAAUAACUGUUGGUUUUAACAUCCCAGACAUGUGAGUUUCCUCUCAGGUCUCAGAAAUACCAAUGAGAUUGAUUUUAGACUCAUAUUAGAGUCCUUUUUUUUUUUUUUCAACUGGGCUUCUAGCAGUGGUGCCUUGGCAUUUUCAUAAUUCCUUUUCUUUGUGCUCUUUGAUGUCUGUUCUCAACAUCUCUAAUUUUUGUACUAUGUAAGCGCUCAUUUGUUUCCUCUUUUACUCUGUCCUAUAAGUGCAACACCUCCUCUGACUCCUGUUGAUCCUUCUGUUAUAAGCCUGCUUCCUCCUCCACCCAGAAGCCACACAAACUGUGUAGCCUCCAUUCACCCCUGAGAUAAACUGGUACUCCAUCAACCUUGCAUCAUUUAUGUAAUAAUGCAUCAUUUAGGCAAUAAAUCACUUUUUGUUCUGUAUUUUGUAUUGUCUUAGAGUAGGCUUGCAGUAUUCUGUGAUAAAGCAUAAUACUGCAUCAAGCUGAUUACCAUCUUGUGAGCACCACGUUGUACUGGUAGCCACAGAAUGCAUUUCCAUUAACAUCAUCAUUUUGGGAUAUAUUUAAAAUGUGGAUAUAAAUAAGCAGGGCUUAGAAAAGUGAUUUAUCCUGCACAUUGCUUUUAGCUUCACUUUUCUCUAUUUAAGCAUCCUCUGACAGUCUUCCCUGCCUUCAGCUGGAAAUAGUAAUGCUGUUGUAGCAGUGGUGAUCUAAGAAUAGGCAGAGACACAGGGCAUGGAGAAAGAGGUACAUCAGAUGAGCUGGUGUGGUUGCAAACGAGAGGCAAGAUUUAAGGAGCAGCCUCCUCACCAAACUGUUACUGCAGAGCUGUGAUCAUGGAGUGCCAGAAAGCUUGUCCCCCUUUCCCACCUCCACUAACUUGUCUUAUAGAAGAUAUUCUCUCUCUGUACAAACUGUGUGUAUCCUAAAUCACAAGGAGAUUAUGUUGUUUAUUUCAAUUAAUUGUUGAGUUUUGUCUUGAUGUCUUUAUUCAGAACCUUGAGUGAGCAAUUUUGGAUGUACAAGUUGUCUUCUUCAAGAUGAGAGGUCUACCUUGUAUUCUUCUUGUGCUUUGAAAGCACUGUCUUUAGUGAACAAUCUGGGGAAUGUUUGAAUUCCCAGAUUAGGGCUAUAUCAAAAGUAACUGUUAAAAAUCUUCCUACAUAUUGUCAUUCUUUUAAUCCUGUUAGUCUCCCCCAUGUUUAUUCUGGUUAGGAUUUCUCUUAUCAGACACUCAAAAAAAGUAAGAGGUUGAAGGGUAAUGUGAUGUUAACACAUUUAUGAUAGAUUAACUAUAGCAUUGGUGUCUCAAACAGAUGUCUGCAUAGGUCUUGGAAGAAAUGAAAAGCAAAAUGCUGCUGUGCGAGCUAAUCCACUGUUUUGUCAUAAUAUUUCCAGAAUUGCAGUCAGCUAUAAAUUAGUUUGAAGGAUUUUUUCUGUAAUAACAAUUUUCAGCAUGAAGCUUGAUGUUCAAGUUGAAAUCUCAAACUGCUACUGAUAUCAGAGAAGAAACAAAACGAUUGGAGGAAGAAAUAGCAGUGAAUUUUUUAGCUAAAUCUGUUCUGGUUCAUAUGAUGUAUUAUGUAAUUAUGUAUUUGGGUCUUGUGGUAAUGAUACGUUAUUUUGUAUGUAAAUUGAUGCAAUAAUGAACUUUACUGAAGAGAUUUUAUAGUACUCUAAAUUUGCUUGAUAUCUAUAUAUCUCUAUCUAAAAUUGAUAAUUCCACAAAAUAAAAAUAUGUUUCUAUUCAAUGUGCUGCACAAUUAAUCUUAGAUUCUUUAAUUAGAGUUUAUCUUCGUUAAGAAUGUCAAGAAAGGAUGUCUCCUUCUUUCAUGUUAAAUUUGGGACUUCUGUAAAAUGGUAUUGAUUUUCACACAUGGAUGUUCUCACCUGUUUUCUGUAAGGAACGUAUUUCAAAGGUUUCUUGCUCCAGUGUCCAAGCAUAGGGACACACAAAAUUUUCAGGAUUUUUUGGAAAAUAUUGAUGGUAUAACAUUUUCAUAUUUUAAAGCACACUAAAUUUUCUGAUCUACAGAGUGUGGGAUAAUGAAAUUAGGUAGGUCAGAAACUCGUAUGUGAAACUUCAGUAUUUUGGAAGUGUUCAGAGGAGAGAGGUUAAAAAACUGUGUCCUUUAAUUAUCAGAUUAGCUUCCUGGUGAAUAUGUUGCAGAAAUUGCUUCUUUUUUUCAUAUAAAUGAUUUUUAUAUUUUCUUUAAUCAGGAUUAAGUGAUCUUAUAUUAGAAGGGGUUGAAUAUGGCAUUUGCUGUAAAUCAUUUAGGCAGCUGAGCAAUACCACUUACAUUAACAAUAAUGUUUCAGCAUCUGCUUAGAGUUAUAUACAUUCUUAAGUACUCUACUGCAACUUAAAUGAUAUGGUUUUGGAUAGCCUGAUCUUGUUAUUACUAUUGUCACUAAAUAUAUAUAAAGUGAAAGUAAAAACCCUAUCAUUAAUACCCAUGUUGCUGUGCUCCCAUUUGUUUCAGAAUAAUAAAGUUUUCCUCUUAGAGAAAUUAUUUACUUUAUUCCCUUACCAAUAUCACAGUACACCAUAUUAGUCCUUGAUUUAAAAUUUUCCUGAAUACUCUCUAAAAAUGAAAACCAAAUGCAUGCUAUCUAUUUGUUCUUCUAAUUACAUAUAGCCUGAAUGAAAUUCAGAAGGUAGUGAAGCAUGAUCAUUCCUUCCUGAGGCAAUAUUGGCUGUCCUUCAUCAAGCUGUGCUUUUCUUAACAGUACCCCACUUAAUGUCCAAAAACAAUUUUUAAGAUUCUCUCCUCCCCAAAGGUACCCAAACUAAAUGGUCUACAAUUUCCUGAAGUGUUUGCAGUGUCCGUCUUCAAUAAUGGCAUUAUGUUGGCCAUUUUCCAGCCAUCGGGUCUUUUUUGAAUAGAAUGACUUUGUAAAAUGUUUGCAUAACUUGCAGUAACAACAUCCCUACUUUUUUAAAGAAAUAUCGAAUAUUGUUAACUAGUGGGAUGCUGUUAUUAAAUGCCAAUAUAUUAUUAUACCAUUGGAUAGGUUAGUUAUUAGUUUCCCUUUCCCAAAACCAAAUCCACUGUCUAUGGCUCAUCUACAAAAUACUCGGGGUAUUUACUAUAAAUCAUAUUUGCAUUCUGUUGCUGGUUGCUUAUAGUAAACAUCCUUAAAAUAACACGUUGUUUUACUAAUAGGAAACAAGCUAAAUCACUUUGUUUAAUACAUUGUCUUUAAACUGAAAGACAAUGUUCAUGCAACAGAUUUUAAAAGUAGCAGAAAGUUAAAGAGAUAGUCUUGGUAUUUAAUAUGUAAUUAAUUUCCUUUAAAGUGCUUCAAGACUAAGAUAAAAACUAACAAAAAAAUAGAUACAGGACAUGUACAACAAUAUGCAUAAAAAGAUGGGUAUUAGAAAAACUUCUAGUGCACUUGUAGGUGUCAAGGCCUGCAUGGUCUAUCUACUUAUGGCAAAAGCCAUAGCUUACUAACACAGACUCUCAAGUGUCAUA